UCCGGUUUGUCACCGGCAGUCUCACUAGAGUGCCCUUUCGUAGCAACUAGUGACAAGGGUUGCGCUCGUUGCGGGACUUAACCCAACAUCUCACGACACGAGCUGACGACAGCCAUGCAGCACCUGUGUCUCGGCUCCCUUUCGGGCACUCUCGCAUCUCUGCGAGAUUCCGAGCAUGUCAAGUGUAGGUAAGGUUUUUCGCGUUGCAUCGAAUUAAUCCACAUCAUCCACCGCUUGUGCGGGUCCCCGUCAAUUCCUUUGAGUUUUAAUCUUGCGACCGUACUCCCCAGGCGGUCGACUUCACGCGUUAGCUGCGUUACCGAGCCUGUAAAGGCCCGACAACUAGUCGACAUCGUUUAGGGCGUGGACUAC
RNAcentral lists this unclassified non-coding RNA (372 nucleotides) under uncultured Gammaproteobacteria bacterium. RNAcentral describes it as "contains 16S-23S intergenic spacer region". Lineage: Bacteria; Pseudomonadati; Pseudomonadota; Gammaproteobacteria. The record is from RNAcentral.